CAGCUGCUGCUGCGGCGGCUGAACAGAUGAUUUGUUUCAGUGAUCAGAUGAGUUAUUUACUUUAAGUCACAUACGAAUAUUAUAAUAUUCAGUUUUGUGAGCCAAAUUUAUUUUAUAUGCCAACAUCUAAGAAAGAAAGAGCCAGGCUACGGAGCGCGAUGUGUCAUUUACGCACAGAUGGUUCCGAUUUUAAUGCCAUUUUUGGAGUUUAUGUUGUGAUCUGUGCACACAACCCACCUUUGUCACGUGAGGUUUGAAUAUAUGCAACUUUAUGUGAGUGUCUUUAUUUGUGGAAAAGGGUGUUUGUCUUACCAGUGGGUCCAACAUUACACACACCAAAUCCAUCUGUGCUCAUAUGGGAGAGUGUGGAGGACACCCAAUGCAGCGCUUACAGUGACACUUGUUGAGGAGCUGCCUUCUGUCGCCAUCGUGUGGCAUUACUGUCUUCACACAACUCUCGAUCUCUUUGAUGUCCAUACUAAACCCCUGUUAAGUAUUAAAACAUCAUACAUAGAUGGAAACAUUAUUCUUGGGGGUAUUUUGGGUUCUCAGAUUUUGUCUUUUUGAGAUAUUUGAGCAGCAAGAACAAAUUGGUCUGACACCUCAGUUUUUACUGAACCCAGGGGCUGUUUGACCUCUAAAGACCCUCAUUGAAGACUCUCCAACCACAAGCUGUUUGUAAUCUUCUGUAACAAUAACUAAUGAAUGUUAACGUAGCUAAAUUAGGUCUUAACAUGGAUGUUAACAUCUGAUUAUAGACGUUUUCUGUGAAGGCAUCACUUUUGAGUUGUUUCAAGAAUACAAAGCUGUGUAAAAAGUGGCACCCGCAAGCUGUGUCUAACUUUAUUUCGGUAUUAUUCUUUUGCUUUUGAAGGACAGUCACUGUAUUUUGUCCUCCUUAAGCCAUCAGUGCAAAUAGUGCAAGAGAUGCUAUCAGUACAGGGGGGAGCUGCUGCAUCCAUGUGUGCCACCAUCUUGGGUGGAACAGUGACAUUAUAACAGCAGCUAAUGUAACAUUUCCUUAAGGCUAACUGCUGGGUCGUUUGAUGACAGUGAAGCUGUGUACAAAGUAACACCCAUUAGCAGUGUCUUACUUUUUAUCAGUAGAUAAACAGCCAAAACAAAGUGUUUUAGGCAGAGUAUGAAGAGUACGGACACCAGAGUAGGAUGAAUAAGCUUUGCUACAGUUGAACAUCAUGAAAACUAAAAAUUAGUGUUAAAGGUCUCUAAAGAAAUCACUUGAAAUCAUGUGCCCCAUGCAGAGGAGCUACAGUCUACAAACCUAUUCUAUACACUGUUGAUUUCCCUCAAUAAAGGCGUGAAAAGCUCCAGAAUAGUGUACAAUAAGAGUGGAGGUUGUCCUGGUCCCCAGAAUAAAAGGUAAUUCAGUCAAGUAAACCACGCCUGGUAAACAGACCGUAUUUAUCAAAAGUUUCUGAUGACUCAAAGUUUCAUACACCACAUUCAUACACUGAUAGCAGAGGAUGCUUUGGUGCUUGUCAGUAUUAACUAACCCCAUUUAUAUGAAAAUCCAAGUCUCACAAUGAGCCUGUAUAAGAGCAGGUCUGAAACACUUGUCACUUUUUGGCAUUCAAAUGUGAAAUAAAGCCUAACUAAUGUUUCAUUUCAAUCCACUUUUUUCCUCAAGUUUUUGAUUUUUCACCUAGAUAACAAUUUGUGGAUGUGUAAUACUUAUUAUUCAGGAAUACUGUUGUGAAAGCUAAAUAUAUUGUUGAACAUGAUGUCACAUUUAUUUAAAGUUUUUUCAAUGAGCAGAUGGUUUCAGGAGCUCUUAUUGUUGGAGGAUUUCUACAGUCCAGAAACUGAUACCACUGUUUUUGUUUUCCUUUUAGGCUGGGUUCAGAUUUGAUUGUUUUUCGAGCUGUUCAUUUAAAUCGUAUCAUAAAUGUCUGUUGUUGCAGCAAUAAAUACAUUUUAAUCGUA
Molecule: long non-coding RNA, 1944 nt
Filed under: Xyrichtys novacula (pearly razorfish)
Lineage: Eukaryota; Metazoa; Chordata; Actinopteri; Labriformes; Labridae
Source: RNAcentral